UUAAAAGCUUUCUUUUUCCUGGCACUAAUUUUGGGGGUUUUGACGAGUUUUCUGACGAAUCCUGCAAUGGCUGAGAGGUCCCCCCCCCUCCAUCCCCCGGAGGAGGUAACAAACCUGGAGAUAGCCUGCCUGUCUGUCCUUGCUCAAUCUGCCCGACAGAUAAAGCUGUGCUAUACUCCCUUUCGCUGCUUCUUGGCUGCUCUCCAAUCCUGGAGCUUUCUCUGGUAUGUUCUGUUCUAACUUCUAACAUAAUUCUCCCAGCGGAUAAAAGCUUCGCUGCUGUCUUGUCUUUACGUGUCGCUUUGUCUUACAAAGCUCUAUUUACUUCCUGCCAAAAACCUGGCUCAAAAACAGAAUGGGUGUCACAUUGUGAAUAGUUACAUUUCACCCAAAGCAUUAGGGCUUCAAGCUCUUUAUCUUUCAGAGCUACAUUGUAUUUUGAUAUUAUUUCUUUUAGUGUUUCUAAUAUGGUAAUUCGUUCUUGUGAAGUGGUUUCCCCCCAUGUUAUGUUCUAGAUCUGACUGUUCUUACCAAAGCACAAAGGCUUGUGUGCAGCCGUGUCAAAUUCGCCUCAGAGGUGUCCUGAUCACUGUCCAGCAGGUUUCAGGGUGACAGAUUCCAGGGCCCUUGGAGAUCUGCCGUCUGGGACGAAUUGGAGACGAGCUGUUCUGGCCAGAAGUGUGAUUCUUCUCUGGAGCUGUGUCGGUUUGGCACUUUGAUCUUCCAAGAGCUUGUGAUGUUCCAUGCAGAGGUUUUAUUUUGACCCUUUUAGUGCUCCUUUACAGGAGGCCACUCAGGGACGCCAGAUGUUGGUGGCUUUCCCUGACAUUCAGGUGGUUUUAGAGUCUUUUUGCCCUCUGCAAAGCUCUGUGCCAAACGGAUGAAAGAGACAGAGUCUUCAAGUUCUGAUUUUUCAAGGUUGCAUGCUUCGUUUAUUUCUCUUAUCUUACAAUUUUCUCAGUGCCCAACAAGAUGUUCGCAGCUGCUCAGACAUCUGACGACUCCUCCCGAACUGGGCAGUCGUUAUCUUUUAUACUAAUUGCUACGUAUUCUUUAUUUAUCAUUUCUUGCCAAUGCCUAUUACUAAUACUAAACAGGUCAUCUCUACCUUGACCCAAUCCCCAUUAAACUACUUUGUGCCAACGUCACUGCUGAAAUGGAGUGAGGGAAGAAGAAAGAAGAAGCAGGAGACAAUGCCCCAGAUUCUCCAUCUUGCCCCCAUUCACUUCAAUGCUAGAAACCUAAAUUUACUGUUUUUUCACCCUGUGAUAAGCUAAACUACUAUCUUUCACACUCUUGUGGCCUGCAAACCCUCUUGCAGUGCAGGAAGCCUUUCCCAUGGACUGAGAUCAAAGCCAGUGUCUCUCUGAGCUCUGGGCUGGGGUCCCAGACCCCCCUGUCCAGGUCUCUGACCCUCCAGGGCAGCCAAAGGAAUGCCCUGGACUCCAACAAAUGCAGAAGAAAGAGAGAAAGAGCCAGAGCUGUGGAGCUGCUCAUGGGACUGCAACAUAGAAAAGACUGACCAUCCAUCCUCCCAGUCCAGAGCCAUCAGCCAGUCUGGGCUCUGGCAAGUCCUGUGCCUGCUCCUGAAGGGCACUGAGUUACGCUGGAGUACCCAAAGGAAAUACACGGACGGGAAAACUACAGCUGCAGGACUACAGAUACAUCCAAGGAGUAACAGCUUCCCCCACUGACCAAGAGUAGAUCUAGAUUGGGUGCUAUGAAGAAAUUGUUCCCUGUAAGGAUUGUGAGGCCCUGGCACAGGAUCCCAGAGAAGCUGUGGCUGCCCCAUCCCUGGAAAUGUCCAAGGCCAGGUUGAACAGGACUUGGAGCAACCUGGGAUAGUGGAAGGUGUUGUUGCCGUGGCAGGGGGUGGAAUGAGAUCACUUUAAGGUCCCUUCCUGGGAUUCUGUGAUUCUAUGAAGUGCAACAUAAAGAUAAUGGUGUAAAAAACAGUCUGACACAUGACUUACAAAAAAUUCAAACCCAUGAUAAGUAAUUUUUCAAUCUUGGCAGAAGCAGGAGGCCUGAAAGAUGAUUUCUAAUACCAGUCUGCCAUGGAGGGCUAACAGGAACAUGCAGAAAAGACAUAAUUGGGACAGAAAACAGCAGUGAGUUUUUUGCAUGUGUUUGAGGAGUAGGAGGAGGGUGGGGAGUUCCCAGACAAGAACUCAUGAGCUUGCCUGAGGAUCUGUCUCAUGCCGAAGCAUCAGGUUGGGGUAGAAUCAAUGGACACAGUGAAUAAUAACAACCUAACCAUUGCCAGAUGGUCCUCCCUGCACCCUUGGAGUGGGUAAAACUGCUUCCACACAGCCUCAGGACAUGGCUGAGGCUCCCAGCUUUUACAAUCCAUUCCCAGGGAGACUCAGCAAGCAACUGACAGUUGUGACCGAGAAAGCUCAGCAAAGUUUCACAAACCUUCCUACCUUUCACACUGAUUUUUAACUUAUUUUACUAGAAGUCUUCCUAGAAGCUAUUUGAAGAUUCCCAGAGAAUUUGGGGGUGAGCAAGUCUGUGAGCAGAUCCUUUGACCAAAGCUGACUCAGUCCUAGAAGACCCCCAAGGCUUCUGCAAAGUCAAGACUGUGAAUGCAAGGGGCCAUCUCCAAGAAUGUAAAACCCCCCCAACACUUUAUGGCAGGCAGCAGAUAUUGAUUUGCAGCCCCAUUUCCUUCCUUCCAGCUGGCUCUGAGCUCACAGCCAGUGGGAACUUCAGGUUUCUCAUGGGAUGGGCUUGAGAAAGGUAGGAUUUAGUGUUCAGAGCACAAAUUGUGUUCUGUCCAGCCCAGUCCUAGGUCAGAGGGAGCCAGGGCCAGACAAGGCUGUUGACAGAUUUCAAGGUUGUCUUCUGCCUUUCAGGGCAGCCACCCUUGAAGGCCCAGUUCAGCAAAGAGUCCUAAAAAAGCAUUAGCUGUAGGGGUUCUUUUGAGAGAACAGGCGUCCCAUCGAUGGCAAAAGGAAAGAGUCCAGGGGGGAUCAGGGCUUUAUUUUUGACCUGCCCCUCCAGCUCAUUCCCUGUCCCCGUCCCAAUGCAAAGAGGCUGCUCCUCCUCCUCUCAGGGCUUUUACCCAGGAGGCAAGGGCUAGAGGCAGGGACAAGCCACUACCCAAUCAGGGACAAGGUGGGAGUGGAACAGAGUUGGGUUACAUUCCGGUGUGGGAGGAUGGGCACGGCCGAGCAGGGACAAACCAUGUGAUACAUUUUCCAAGGGAACAGGGGAUACAGAAGAAAACCCAAUAUAAAAAUGAAAUACAAUAUAAACCAAAUUAAUGCACUACAACAAUUAGCAGAAUGACUAUUCCUGUUAUUUGGGCUGAAAACCUGGUAUCUCAUAGAAUCUCAGUGUCACCUUGGUUUUUCUGAGUUUUUUUAAAGCCUUCUGCUUGUUUAUAAGAUGGAGUCAGUUUCUUUAGUUUCUGCACAAUAUUAGGAGCAGUGUUUUGCUUUUCUCAUGCAUGGGGACAUAAACAAACCUUUUGUUUUCCUUCCCUGUCCUUUGUUUACAUAUUUCUAUCCUGAAAAUAAUGUAACUGACAGCUAGUCUAGCCAGUGGGGUGAAGGGGUAGUAACCCCAGAAGCCAAUCCACAAACAGACCCACAAAUGCAUAAAAAUGAAAGAAAUAAAGAGGCUCGCUCUCUUGGGGAGCAACUCUGCACUGCAAACCUCUCGUCUCCGUGUUAUCACUUUGCAUGCCACUACCACAUCUCAGGAUGAUUUGGGUUGAAAGAGACCUUCAGGCUCAUCCAGUGCCACCCCCUGCCAUGGGCAGGGAUACCUUCCAGUAUCCCAGGGUGCUCCAAGCUCCAUUCAACCUGGCCUUAGACACUUCCAGGGAUUGGGAGUCCACAAUCUCUCUGGGCGACUUGUGCCAGUGUUUUGUAAGUGGAAAUAGACAUUCCCAUUUAUUUUUAUGCACCAAAUCUGUGAAUAAUCUCCUUUGUGUUAGAUGAGGAAAUACAUUUUCUGGUUUAGCGCACCUGAUUGAACAUCUGUCCUAGAAUGGAGUGCACCAGCUCCCUAAGGUGCCAGCAUUUUUCUGUUGACUAUCAAGGGAGUCCAGACAACUCCAGUGUGAGCUCCUGCUUUGGGAGAGAUACCCAAAGCUCCCUGGAAGUCAUUCUUGUAUCAUCUUACCUGUGUUUUGUGUUUAAUACAAUUCUGGAGCAUGUAGUCACCCCCUUCACUAUCGGGGACCAGGUAAGAAGCUGUAGCUAAGCCAAAGGUUUUACUGAAGCACAGAUAAACAGACUCAAUGAGAAUCCUAAAUUCCUCAUCCUCAUCUUCCCAGAUUAAUAAACUCUAAAUGUUUUAUUUCAAUCAAUACUGAAUUUGACACAUAAAUCAAUUUUUACCUGGGACAAACUAUAAAAUUAACCAAGCACAAACCUCUUCUGUAGAUCAAUAACCCACUCAUCCCAAAAGUUAUAUAAAAUUAGGCAGAAGGACACUUUAAACACCAGGCACAGAACACAAAAAUGUGUCUUGUGGAAUUUUGCCACAAAAAUAUGUAUUAAUAUUACUGGUCAUAUGUGCCAUGACUAUGACACACACAGAAUCCUAAUUUCCCUUCCUCUGAACUCGUGACUGUGGGGCUGUUGCACACUUAAAUGAACCAGGCUGAGAGCAGAAUGUGUGGAAAGGAAUCGCCUAACGUUCCAACCCCCAUGAAUUUUAGCACAAAGGGAUGAGAAAGGAACAUGUAUCUGACUACCUGUUCCAGGAAGGUGAGAAGUCAAUCACCCAACAGCGACUUAGGUCUGUUCUGCCUUUAUUCAGGAAUGUCCUGAUCUACUUCAGUUCAAGAAGGUGGUCCAGGAAAACAUUCCUGAAGUACUUCAGAUCUCUGCUAUCAGGAGCAGGCCCUCCUCCUCUGCAGGACAUUCCCAAUUUUCAAACUAUUCCUCAGCAUUUGAGCAUCACUCUGUAAGUUCAGUGUGGGCUGUUCAGACUGACCAUCCUGUGCUGGUCACUUUUGGUUUGAUGUAGUCCCAUGUUUCUGUUUGCAGACUGGAUGGUUUUACCUCUGGAGUCAAUGACUCCUUAGAGAAUUCAAAUUUUAGCAUGGAAUUUUCUCAUUGAAACAGUGGCACAUCAAAAGAAGAUUAAUUUCUGAGUCAUUGCUUUGAUUUGAGAUGGUUCAUCAAUUCAGUUUUAGGUGAUUUUGUACUGAAUAAAAAAAUGACAGUUUGGGCAAAAACAUCCAAAAAGUCACGUUACAAACUAAUACUCCAGAAUAAACUUAUUCUCCUGGCUACAACCAAGUCUGUAAUUUCCUGCAUAGUUACAGCCAUUUAUACUUGCAGCAUAACAGCAUCUCACGGCAGCUUAUCCUGUCUCUUUAGAGGGAAAUCAUCUUCUCACUAGUCAUUAUUUAGGUCAGUUUGUGGUUUAAUGAAUUUUUUCUUUUAAAUAAAAGUGUUUGAGAAAAUUUAAAGGUGAAAAAUGAGGCAGAGCAAAUAUAAUGCAAAAAUCAGUUGUGAAUUUUAAAUCUGUGCUUCACUUGCACAUUUUGAUCCAAACUGUUGGUCGUGCAAGUUGUUCAGAUGUUGACAGACCCUUCAAUAAAUUCCUGUUUCUCUUCCACAAAGACUUCUCCCAGAAUACAGAAAGGAUGAAAGAGUAACUGCAGGGAGACAGGACAAACCUCCUGAGGCAACUCAAGCACAAACCUUGAUGGUAAUGGAGAACUCAGAGACCAAGAGCUCUUGAAAUGUGUUUCAGGCCACAUUUAAUUCAGAAGAUGGAGAAAACUACUGCAAACACUAUUUAAAAUCUUGAUUAACACAGGAGAACAUGAAGGAGGCAUGAUUGAAUUUGGUUACAUGGUUACACUGAGGCUGGAAAAUGCCUUUCCCAUGAUUCAGGAGGCCAGUCAGAGCCAUCCUUAAAUAAUUGUUGUGUUUUAACAAAAUAAUCAUGGCAUUGAUGGAUCAACAUUGACUGGAGGAAGGGGAAGAAGGGUGGCUCCGUGGAUGGAAAAUUGCUCAGCUUAACUGCAAAGUGCAGGAAGAUAAUAAACUAUUGACAUCUCAGCCCUUGGAGAGGGAGAUGACGUAAAAAGUGACAAAUCAAAAAGUCACCAUGAAUUUGUCAAUAACUGGGGAACAGCUGUUCAGGGAGCAGCACUGAAAGGGAUCCGGGGAUUACAGGGGAUCAGGAGGAGUGUGAACCAACAUGGUGAUGCUGUUGCUGACUCUGCAAAUGCCACGCUCAGAUCUGUUACCUAACUAACCUGAUUACUGGAUACAGACCUGGGCAGGAAUGCAAAGUGGAGUCCAGAGGAGCCUAAGAAUGACAAAAGGUUUAGAAAAUAUGGCCUAUGAGAUCAUGAGUGUGAAAAGUGCAUAUUAUAUGGCUCUACGCAAGGUAUUUACUAUAUGUAUUAUGUUGUAUUGAUUAGUAAUGUUGUAUUAAUAUUUUGAUAGUAUGGUAAAUGUAGUUUUGUAGUUAAAAUAGAAAUGUAUUUUUUAAGAAGGGAGAGAAUAUUCGCAAAGAGAUAGCAGCCACAGGAAAACGUAAAUCUUUCAGAGAAAAAGAAUUUAUGACUUCCUUAUCAGAAGAGACCAACUUCUCCUGCCUCGCUAAACCCUGAAGACACCAUAGAGAUUAAGGGAAAAAAAGUGACACUGACCAGAGAGAAUUCUUUGUUUGAAUGGAAUUUAUGCAUCAUGUAUGAAAUGUAUGAAUAUUCAACAGGCUAUUGCUUUUAAGAGAUAAUCCUCUGUUAACGAGUGUCCUUUUUCGGAGCUUUUUGCUCGGAAAGGCACCCAGACGUCUGUUACUUUGUUUUUAUUGUCUCGUAUUGU
Hirundo rustica (Barn swallow) is the source of this 6806-nucleotide RNA transcript. RefSeq lists it as uncharacterized. The record is from RefSeq and is a predicted model, not a curated record. Lineage: Eukaryota; Metazoa; Chordata; Aves; Passeriformes; Hirundinidae. The transcript is spliced from 2 exons.